CUAUGUUACUGAGACGAGAUUGGCCAGCUCACUCCAUGUUGGUCGUCCAGACCAACCCUUCAUCCAUUGGUCAAUCACUUCUGUCAAGCAGCCAGCACUGUCGUUGGGACACGAAUCACAACACACUGUGACAAAAAAAUACGCAAUCUGCUGACAGUCACUGGAGGUGCUUGGUGAUCCCAAACCCUAGGCUCCCACUGCGGAGGAGAUAACGUCUUUGUACAACCUAGCAAUAUGUACAAUCGUCCCAAAAGAACGAGUUGGUCUUUGCCAUACCUGGAGUGGUGUAUGUGCUGUGUGUGUAUAUGACACAUGUGCUUAUAGGCUGCAUGUCACAAAGACAAUAAUAAUGUACAUGUGUACAUACAAAGAUUAAUGACUAAUGCUGUUUAUGA
Long non-coding RNA from Halichondria panicea, 395 nucleotides. RefSeq lists it as uncharacterized. NCBI's taxonomy places the organism in Eukaryota, Metazoa, Porifera, Demospongiae, Suberitida, Halichondriidae. The transcript is spliced from 2 exons. The record is from RefSeq and is a predicted model, not a curated record.